ACUCUAUGAUGAAAAAAACAUUUCCAGUUCUGCUACUGAAGCACUGUGAUGACUACCAAUAUACCAUACCAAGAUCUCUGACCG
RNAcentral lists this small nucleolar RNA (84 nucleotides) under Hirsutella minnesotensis 3608. Lineage: Eukaryota; Fungi; Ascomycota; Sordariomycetes; Hypocreales; Ophiocordycipitaceae. The record is from RNAcentral.